AUGGAGUCGACGGUGGUGGAACUUGACGCAUCAUCGUGUGUAGUCAUACUUGGUGUCCUCGGGGCAUUGGCUGUAGUCGUGGUACUUGGUGUGCAUCAACUAUUGACUGACAGUGUACAGGAAGCAGAGAGGUCUCUUGCGGUCUUGACAUCAACAGAGCUAGGCAGCGGAGAGCACACACAACAGGGCACGGCAGCAACGGGUCGGCCAAAGGAGGCACAGGCCAUGGCGCCAUGGAUGAGCCGUGACACCAGAUCCGGGUCGCGGGAGGGCGGAUCCAGCGGGGCGCGACAAGCAGGGGCCUGA
Molecule: ribosomal RNA, 306 nt
Filed under: Triticum aestivum (bread wheat)
Lineage: Eukaryota; Viridiplantae; Streptophyta; Magnoliopsida; Poales; Poaceae
Description: partial small subunit ribosomal RNA
Source: RNAcentral